This 253-nucleotide ribosomal RNA is filed under the name uncultured bacterium. RNAcentral's name for it is "partial 16S ribosomal RNA". It matches the Rfam family "Bacterial small subunit ribosomal RNA", at positions 524 to 776 of the family's 1533-position model. The record is from RNAcentral.
UACGUAGGGGGCAAGCGUUGUCCGGAAUCAUUGGGCGUAAAGCGCGUGUAGGCGGCCCGAUAAGUCUGCUGUGAAAGUCAACGGCUCAACCGUUGAAAGCCGGUGGAUACUGUCGGGCUAGAGUUCGGAAGAGGCAAGUGGAAUUCCUGGUGUAGCGGUGGAAUGCGCAGAUAUCAGGAGGAACACCCAUAGCGAAGGCAGCUUGCUGGGACGAUACUGACGCUAAGGCUCGAAAGCGUGGGGAGCGAACAGG